Equus caballus (horse) is the source of this 5925-nucleotide long non-coding RNA. Lineage: Eukaryota; Metazoa; Chordata; Mammalia; Perissodactyla; Equidae. The record is from Ensembl.
AAGAGAGAGGGUCUGGAGAAAGACAGCAUGGUGGGAGAGGCAGUCCUGGCAAACAGGGAGAAAGUCCAGAGAGGGGAAGACAGCAGGAAAGGAGGAGAAAUAAAACACAGGAAAGCGAGUUAGACAUGCACUUGGUUUGAUGUUGAGUAAUGGACACGGCUUGCACCGGGCUGUCCCUUGUCUGAGGAGUCUCGUAGCUUCAACGCAGGUUAUCUGCGGUGCUGAAAUGAAAUGCUGCCUGUGUGGUUAACCAUUAUUCAUAUUUCUCCAAUUGCUCUAAUCCUUAACUCUUUAAAGGUUUGAUUCUGAGCAGCUCCCUACAGCAGAAAUUAUCUUCAAGAUGCCUCAUUAGGUCAGUACUAUCUUGAUCUUGUCCCUUGAGUUCAAAGUUUCUUGCUCCUUCAAUACAAGAUAGAGUUCAGAUUCCUUAGCCUGGAAUCUAAGGGCUUCCCAGAUCCAUCUCUGCUCAUCGCCCAUGUCACCCCAGCAGAAGUCAGCUGCUCCCACAAGGCCAGGCUGCUCUUUCUCCUGCGACUUUGGUGCUGUCCCCUCCUUUCUGGGAUCUGCUUCUUCUCUACGUUCCUUCUUUGGGGUCUUGCCCAAAACUCACCUCUUUCAUGUUCUCUGAUCUUUCCAGCCUAUGGCAAUCUUUUUCUCCACUGAAAUCUUACAACAUCCAUGGUUUGUACCAUUAAUUUGGCACUUACCCACAUAUGACAUUGCCCUUUUUUUGCUAGUGCCAACUGAAUUGUGGCUCCUUGAGGGCAAAGUCAGGUCUUAGCUGUCUUAUAAGAUAGUACUCAGCAAAGUAUCCUGUCAGAUGUCGAGAAUCCAAAGGGGGACCUCGGGCACAUCUGUAAAUGAUCUCAGCCUCAAAUCGUUCAUCCGUAAAAUGGAAAUAAUGCUAGUUCCCUACUAGGGUGAGAGUUAAGGGAGAUUAUGAAUACAAAAGAAAUUUGCGCAGUACCAGCACAGAGAAAUGGAUUCUAAAAUGCUAAUUUUUCCAGUAAUAAUAGUUGUUAGUUAUUAAUUUAACAAUAGAUUAACAUUUUAUUUGCCAUCAUUAUAAUUAUAAUCCCUAUUAUUUGAUCAAUUCAGAAAAGAGAAAGUAAUUUAAGAGCUUGUUUUUUCUUUUGAAUUCCAGAAUUUAACUUCUUUGUCCUUUCUUUAGAUUUCAUGUGCAUUCUCUAGCUGGUCAAUUGAUGGUCAUUUGGCAGGCUUUGACAAAGUCUAUUUUGUAUGCUGGAGAUGCCUAUACCAAAUCACCUGUCAGAAAUUUUAGCAAAAGUUGUGAUCCAAUUUAUCUACUGUAUUGAUAAGCUCUUUUACUUCAUCAAAGUGGAAAAAUAACCUAAUCCAGUUAUUAGGUAACAGCCAGAUUACCUAAUAGAUCACUGAUAGGCUCCUGUAAUUUGGGAUAUCUAAGGUAACUUCAGGUACAGCUCGAUCAAGAGUCGAAUGACGUUGUGGCUCUCUUUUUCUCUUUGCAGUUGGCCUCAUCUCUUUCCUUUGCAGAUGGGCUUCUCCAUUCAGCCAGGGAAGACAUCUCCUGCAGCUCCAAUUUUACUGCUUCAGCCGAAGUCCUAUGACCUCACUGCUGUAGCUUGGGCAUUGUGGACUAAUCACUAUGCUCUCACUGGCCGCAUCUGAGUCACAUGCCCAUUCUUGUUAUUUUGUGGGCUGGGGACGGCUCCACCUGAACCACAAGGACCAAGAAUGAGGAAGUGGUGAUAUCUCAAAGGAAAAUCAGGAUGCUUUUACCAGUUGAAGGCGGAUUGGAUACCCAACAGGCCUAAACUCCAGGUGUUCACACAUCCACCUUGCUACCCAGGUAGCCAUUUAUAUUUCUACUCAGUAGCAACUUCUCUUCACUGUUUGGAAUAUGGGAAGAGUCUUAUUCAGAGUUCUUGGCCUAGCCAGGUUCUGGUUAGUGUUUGGCAUUUUGUCAAUGAAACCAGGUACAAAAAGACCUUUUCCUGAGUCUCUGUUUCCCACUCUGCCUCUUCACAGAGGCCGGGUGGGGAGGAGUCCAGGGAUUAUUAUAGCCAGGGUGGAAGAGAAGAUGACCCUGACGUGGGCUUUAGAAGCAAGAGCGUCUGAGCUCUGCUUUCCCCCACGCAGACUGCUGGGCCUGUCUCUUCCCAUUGUUCUGAGAAAGCAAGAGUUCUAUGGUUUCCAUGGCAACCACCAGCUUGGGCCAUUUAACCAGCAGUGACUUCAUUUCCCAGGUCAGGGCUGGCUGGGUCCUUGUCUCAUAUUCUGUUACACAGCCGGGGCCAUCGCCACAGCUCCGUCAGGGAGUUUCCGCCUCAGUUGAAUGCUGGUCAGACUUUCCCACCAUUGCCCACUCCACGAGCCUUCUCUGGCCUGGACCUCAUACCAUUUCUUCUUCCCAAAGACCACGAUUGCCUGAGGAUGCUGCCACAACAUGGCUUGAUACGUGGUGUGUACGUCUGCACCCAGGAUCCAACCCUGCAAACUCCAGGCUGCUGAAGUGGAGCGCGUGAACUCAACCACUACACCACCAGGCCGGCCUCUCUAUUCAGCUAAUUUUUAUUUAAUGUGUAAUACGGGCAAAGGGUUAGGCUAAGUGCUGUUUGGAUACAAAGGAAAAUAAGAUGCAAUGGAACUUAUAGAGCCAGCAAAUGGCUGGGCUAGGCUAUACUGCAGUCACAGACGACUCCCCAGUCUCAGGGGCUUAAGACCACAAAGGCUUAUCUCUCACUCACAUUUUAUGUCCUUCAUGUCUCUGCUCUAUGUCAUCUUUAUUCCAGGACACAGGCUAAAGGAACAGACUAUUUCUUGGAUGUGCUAAUCUGGGGAUGCUUUUCCAGUAGAGGAAAGAACAAGAUGGUGGAACCACAUCAUGGGUCUUAAAGCUUCUGAUUUGAAGUGGCCUAUGUCAUUUCUGCUUACAUUUCACUGAACAAGCGCAAGUUAGAAGACCAAACUUGACAUGAUUGGGACAAAGAGUGGCAUCCCACAGGGGCAUUUCUUGGACUAAUAAUCCAUUUGUAACAGGAGAAGAAGGAACCCACUAUCAGCGGACUGGAUAUGUGGACAGACACAAAAUUAUAUUUCAGAUUUUUCUCAACUAAUGGUUGAAAAAUGGUAUCUCAGUGUAAUUUUAAUUCAUAUUUCACUUAUUAUGAGUGAGGAUGAGUAUCUCUUAUGUUUCCAUGUCUCCAUUUCCAUUUCAGGGGGCUGUUUUUAUUUAUACCCUAUGCCUAUUUUUCUACUGGGUUUUGGGUCCCUCCCUCCCUUUCUUCCUUCCUUCCUUCUUUUCUUUCUUUUGCUGAGGAAGACUUGCUCUGAGCUGACAUCCAUGCCAAUCUUCCUCUAUUAUUUGCUUUAGUAUGUGGGCCGCCAGCACAGCACGGCCACUAAUAGAACAGUGUAGGUCCACACCCAGGAACCAAACCAAGACCACCAAAGUGGAACGUGCUGAACUUAACCGCUAGGCCACCAGGGCUGAUCUUGGGUCUUUUUCUAAUUGGUUUCUAGGGAAGGUUAAGAAGGAUUUUGUUGGUCAGGGCUGGGAUGAGGAAUUCUGCCAGAACUGUGCCAGGUACCAGGGACAGACGGACACAGUCCUUGGACCACGUAGCUCCCAUUCUGUGGGAAUGGCACUAGCCUACAACAAGCAAAAAGAUUCCUCUUUUUCAAGUAUUUGGGAAAUAGCAACAGUUCAAGUCAUGGGGCUUAGGGUUCAUGGCGGACCUUGGCAGGACCACGGUCCCAUCCUGGGCAAAGACAAAUUCUUAGUGUCUUAGGUCAGGCUCCCUAGAAGCGGCCUCUGAGAUGGUGAUUCUUUUUCAAGUGAUUUUUUUCAGAGUCACCUCAGGAGAUGAUGAGCAAGAGAACCAGGACAGGUCAAAGGAGGAAAAUUAAACAAGAAUGUGGACUCCAUGGGAGACUAGCUUCAGUCUGGCCCCCUGGGGAAGCUCUGGAGCAUGAACUGCACCACAGAGCUGUCAUCCCUCCACUGAGAGAGGCAACUUGCCCUUUGUACGUCAAGUCAGCAAGUCAUUGGCUGAGGUCUGGGGAGGAAUGGGGAGGGCAGCACUUCUAGGUCAAGAUGUCCUUGGUUUGGCUGAGGGCAGUUCUCUGGAGAAGGGGGCAGCUGUGAACCAUUAGCAGCCACCACUCACAGCAGCUGAGGGACAGGGGCACCAAGCCCUAAAGGGAAUUUGUGUGGGACACCAACAGCUUCCAUUAUGUAUCGUGGGAUCCAGGGUUCCCCCAAGAAUCCAGCAGUAUCUGCCAGUGUAUAAGUCCAACUAUGUACUUGAAUGUCCCUUAAAAAUGUCCCCAAAUAGCAAGCAAAAAGGUUUUCAACAAAAGCUAAUGGAUACAGCCCAGAAACAUAAUUGUGAAACUCAUGAAUCAGGGUUUGACUUGUGGUUCUGUCGUCUAGGAUAAUCACGUCAUCCUGAGCGAGACACCCUGCUGGGAGCCAAGUGUUAGUUUAUGAACAUUUUGAUUAUUUUUGAGUCCCAGCUGCAAAAUGCCAGAAGCUUGACUCGUCAAAUACAUCACUUACUUAUGGGCAGUAAUGGCUCCAAUGAUGGUGGCAGAGUUUAGCUCAAGCAAAUAUUUAUAAUUGACAAUGAAUGUGUGAGCAGGAUGCUAAUGAAUGGAUGUGCCAGUUAUUUUCCCCUGCUACAAACAUUAGCGCUUGUUUGGUUUCACUGUCAAACUGACACUAUAGAUUAGAAAUGACAGAAUGCUGGCAAAGAGCCACAGUGAAGAAGAAUAUCAAGAAAAUUUGCAAAUUAUGUAACAUUUGAUACUUCUAUUUCCAAAUAUAAAUUGUCUGUGGGUGUUAAUAGGAGGUUGUGGCUUAAUUAUAGGCCUAAAUGGAAAAUACUGAGAUUUACAAAAACAUUCAUUUUAGAAGAGGAAGCCAAGCUGACGCCAUCUUGGAUUCAGCUGCUGCUUGCCUUUCCAUUUUCAUGCCGCCAAAGCAGAGUUCAGCACAACAGAAACAGAUGGAAGGAGAGUUUCAGAAGAGAUGGGAUUUUAAAGCCCCAGUCUGUUAGGAAGCAGCCCUGUUUUCUCAUUCCCAUGGAAACAAAAAGUCCUGGGGACCUGCAGACAUGACAGGAAUCCACGACUUCUCUGCUACUGCUGCCCUCUGUCUGAGUCCAAGGAAAUGGAUUCCAGGUCCUGCUUCUGUUUGAUCAAGGGGACAUACCCAGCCACUUCUUCCCCAUGCCUUUCUGCCCGCCAUUCAUUUAUUGAUCUUGAUAUUAUACCACAUCAUGUUAAUUUCCUUUUUGGUUCUCCUUGGAGCCGGAGAGCUUUAUAACUGGAAGGUCCACAGAAAUCAUCUAGCCCAAACAAACUACAUAGCGCAUGAGAAAAUGGAAGCCUGGAGACGUGAUGUUGAGGUAGAGACAGGUUGGAGCUCAGGGUUGCAGCUCCCAGCCCAGACUGUUUUGUAUCAACUUUGCUUUCUCCUUGUAGCAUGCGCAUUUCACCAGAUGACAGGGGUCCUCUGAGCUCCUGACAUGUCACCAGCUGGAAGGGCCCUGACAUCACGCUGGCCCUCCAUUGCUACUCUGCACCCCCAGGCACAUGUGCCCCACCCCUGUUCAUGGCUUCAACUGUAAACAACUCAAGAUUCUCAUGUAAAUUGUUAACUCCAAGACAUGCUUACUACACAACAGUUAAAUUCAGAUGUGUCUGAAUCCAAUUUGGACUAAAUGAAGGUAAGCCCACUGCAACUCUGUGGAUGAUGGCAAUACCCCAGGAGAUGGUGAAGGAGCAAGAUGUUAGGAGCUGGAUCCCUGAAUGACUGUGUGGAGCACUGCUACUCUGCCGGCUCUGUGCCUCUCACCUCUGGACUGCUUUAGGAGAAAAACUCUAAUUUAAGGCAAUCUGUUUUAUUUGCUAAUAAAUAAACAGGUUUUUUGUUGUUGU